GGUGGUGUAGCUCAGUUGGAUAGAGCAGCAGCCUUCUAAGCUGUCGGUCAGUGGUUCGAAUCCACUCACCAUCGCCA
RNAcentral lists this transfer RNA (77 nucleotides) under Escherichia coli. RNAcentral's name for it is "tRNA-Arg". It matches the Rfam family "tRNA". Rfam says of the family: Transfer RNA (tRNA) molecules are approximately 80 nucleotides in length. Their secondary structure includes four short double-helical elements and three loops (D, anti-codon, and T loops). The record is from RNAcentral. Lineage: Bacteria; Pseudomonadati; Pseudomonadota; Gammaproteobacteria; Enterobacterales; Enterobacteriaceae. RNAcentral also lists the same sequence under 17 other names.